Long non-coding RNA from Terrapene triunguis (Three-toed box turtle), 756 nucleotides. RefSeq lists it as uncharacterized. The record is from RefSeq and is a predicted model, not a curated record. The transcript is spliced from 4 exons. NCBI's taxonomy places the organism in Eukaryota, Metazoa, Chordata, Testudines, Emydidae.
UCGAGCUCCGUCCGACGGGGCGGCUCGCCAGCUUCGGGGAGGAGCUGAGCUGCUGCAGGACGCUGCCCGACCGCCGAGACUCCGUCUUUACUCCCGGGCAUCCCUCCCAAGCCUGGACUGCGAGCUGCCGGGCCCAGCCAUUGCAGCUUCCCCGCUGGGCACAACAGAAGCACGUCGGCUGAUCCCCUCCAACGCGUGUAAAGACAAGCGAUAAUAAUAUCCAGGGGGAGAGUAUCAAGAGAACUGAGCAUCAAACCCAUCUGACUCCACUAUUUCUUCUCGAAAUAGUGAUUGUGAUGAGGAGAAAAUUGUGAAGAAGCGAAUGGGUGCAAUUGGGAAACUUACCCAGAGUCCAUGACGGUGUGUCUGUCUAAUGAACGACCCUGGCUGUUGUGUGACAACCAUUUUAGUUUUAUUACUGGUGGUGAUACUGCUUUUCAACCUUGGCUUCUAAUGUGAGGAAAAACACGCAAUGACAAGUGUGGAAAAGAGCAAGCACUAAAUUACUGUCAGAAAAAUAAACGCAGUAGCGCGCUGCUGCACGGUGAUUUACGGGGGCAAUUAGCCACCACCCCACAGAGCUGCUGAGGACAGCACUGCUGCCUGCAGAAGUGUCAGGCAAAGAGGAAGAGGAGCUUUGGCUUUGCCUUUCCAGACAACUUUUCACAAAACAAGAGGGCGAUGGGGGAGGGCAGCAUAUGCUGUAGCACGUCCUCGCUCCGUGUGUACCUAACCCCCCCCCCCACACACACACAC